This 603-nucleotide ribosomal RNA is filed under the name uncultured fungus. RNAcentral's name for it is "eukaryotic LSU rRNA". It matches the Rfam family "Eukaryotic large subunit ribosomal RNA", at positions 40 to 647 of the family's 3401-position model. The record is from RNAcentral. Lineage: Eukaryota; Fungi.
AUAUCAAUAAGCGGAGGAAAAGAAACUAACAAGGAUUCCCCUAGUAACUGCGAGUGAAGCGGGAAAAGCUCAAAUUUAAAAUCUGGCGGUCUUGCGGCCGUCCGAGUUGUAAUCUGGAGAAGCGUUUAUCCGCGUCGGACCGUGUACAAGUCUUCUGGAAGGGAGCGUCGUAGAGGGUGAGAAUCCCGUCUUUGACACGGACAACCGGUGCUUUUGUGAUGCGCUCUCGAAGAGUCGAGUUGUUUGGGAAUGCAGCUCAAAAUGGGUGGUAAAUUCCAUCUAAAGCUAAAUAUUGGCGAGAGACCGAUAGCGAACAAGUACCGUGAGGGAAAGAUGAAAAGCACUUUGGAAAGAGAGUUAAACAGUACGUGAAAUUGUUGAAAGGGAAACGUUUGAAGUCAGUCGCGUCGGCCGAGACUCAACCUUGCUUCUGCUCGGUGCACUUCUCGGUUGACGGGUCAGCAUCAAUUUUGACCGCCGGAUAAAGGUCGGGGGAAUGUGGCAUCCUUCGGGAUGUGUUAUAGACCUCGUUCGGAUACGGCGAUUGGGAUUGAGGAACUCGGCGCUUUGCGUCCAGGAUGCUGGCAUAAUGGCUUUAAGCGA